RNAcentral lists this ribosomal RNA (462 nucleotides) under Vreelandella stevensii. Its description in RNAcentral is "partial 16S ribosomal RNA". It matches the Rfam family "Bacterial small subunit ribosomal RNA", at positions 338 to 795 of the family's 1533-position model. The record is from RNAcentral. Lineage: Bacteria; Pseudomonadati; Pseudomonadota; Gammaproteobacteria; Oceanospirillales; Halomonadaceae.
CCUACGGGAGGCUGUGGGGAAUAUUGGACAAUGGGCGAAAGCCUGAUCCAGCCAUGCCGCGUGUGUGAAGAAGGCCUUCGGGUUGUAAAGCACUUUCAGUGGGGAAGAAAGCCUUGGGGCUAAUACCCUCGAGGAAGGACAUCACCCACAGAAGAAGCACCGGCUAACUCCGUGCCAGCAGCCGCGGUAAUACGGAGGGUGCGAGCGUUAAUCGGAAUUACUGGGCGUAAAGCGCGCGUAGGCGGUCUGAUAAGCCGGUUGUGAAAGCCCCGGGCUCAACCUGGGAACGGCAUCCGGAACUGUCAGGCUAGAGUGCAGGAGAGGAAGGUAGAAUUCCCGGUGUAGCGGUGAAAUGCGUAGAGAUCGGGAGGAAUACCAGUGGCGAAGGCGGCCUUCUGGACUGACACUGACGCUGAGGUGCGAAAGCGUGGGUAGCAAACAGGAUUAGAUACCCGUGUAGUC